RNAcentral lists this transfer RNA (68 nucleotides) under Nephila pilipes (giant wood spider). It matches the Rfam family "tRNA". From Rfam's summary of the family: Transfer RNA (tRNA) molecules are approximately 80 nucleotides in length. Their secondary structure includes four short double-helical elements and three loops (D, anti-codon, and T loops). Lineage: Eukaryota; Metazoa; Arthropoda; Arachnida; Araneae; Nephilidae. The record is from Rfam by way of RNAcentral.
GUCCGCGUGGCUAAUGGAUAAGGCGUCUGACUUCGAAUCAGAAGAUUGCGGUUCGAGUCCUGCGGACG